CCUACGGGCGGCAGCAGUGGGGAAUAUUGCACAAUGGGCGCAAGCCUGAUGCAGCCAUGCCGCGUGUGUGAAGAAGGCCUUCGGGUUGUAAAGCACUUUCAGCGGGGAGGAAGGCGGUGAGGUUAAUAACCUCAUCGAUUGACGUUACCCGCAGAAGAAGCACCGGCUAACUCCGUGCCAGCAGCCGCGGUAAUACGGAGGGUGCAAGCGUUAAUCGGAAUUACUGGGCGUAAAGCGCACGCAGGCGGUCUGUCAAGUCGGAUGUGAAAUCCCCGGGCUCAACCUGGGAACUGCAUUCGAAACUGGCAGGCUAGAGUCUUGUAGAGGGGGGUAGAAUUCCAGGUGUAGCGGUGAAAUGCGCAGAGAUCUGGAGGAAUGCCGGUGGCGACGGCGGCCCCCUGGACAAAGACUGACGCUCAGGUGCGAAAGCGUGGGGAGCAAACAGGAUUAGAUACCCGGGUAGUC
Molecule: ribosomal RNA, 465 nt
Filed under: uncultured Klebsiella sp.
Lineage: Bacteria; Pseudomonadati; Pseudomonadota; Gammaproteobacteria; Enterobacterales; Enterobacteriaceae
Description: bacterial SSU rRNA
Rfam family: Bacterial small subunit ribosomal RNA
Source: RNAcentral